This 419-nucleotide long non-coding RNA is filed under the name Mus musculus (house mouse). RNAcentral describes it as "RIKEN cDNA A530088E08 gene". Lineage: Eukaryota; Metazoa; Chordata; Mammalia; Rodentia; Muridae. The record is from RNAcentral.
GGCCACCCAGCCUAGCCCCAGCUGGAUUGGGGGAGAGCGUACCUGGGGCCUUCGGAUUUGGCUUGGGUUCCAGUGGUGCCACGUUCUUGUGCCUUCCCCACAGGGUCUUGGAAAACCGGAGGCGAUUGGACCGUGACUCCUUAGGGGGUGCAGAGAGGACCCGACGAAACAGAGAUCUGGGGGCUGGCUGGCUGUUCACCAUGGGCUCCUGAUGGCUCAGGGCCCUUCCCCAGCCUGCAAAGCGGCCCCAGCGGAACCCUCCAGCAGCCUUUUCCCCACUGCCUCCAGUGUGCCAGCGGUAGGAUGUCAGCGGAGAGGGCAGCGAGGGCUGCGUUUGGGAAUCUUCUUCACUCUGCAACGGUCAUCUUUAGCUACAUAGUGUGUUCAAGGCUAGCUUGGGCUACAAGAGGAUGACAUGA